GGGCUUCGCAAGGCGGUUUCUUCAGUCUGAGGUGAAAGCCCCCGGCUUCAACCGGGGAGGGUCAUUGGAAACUGGGGAACUUGAGUGCAGAAGAGGAGAGUGGAAUUCCACGUGUAGCGGUGAAAUGCGUAGAGAUGUGGAGGAACACCAGUGGCGAAGGCGACUCUCUGGUCUGUAACUGACGCUGAGGAGCGAAAGCGUGGGGAGCGAACAGGAUUAGAUACCCUGGUAGUCCACGCCGUAAACGAUGAGUGCUAAGUGUUAGGGGGUUUCCGCCCCUUAGUGCUGCAGCUAACGCAUUAAGCACUCCGCCUGGGGAGUACGGUCGCAAGACUGAAACUCAAAGGAAUUGACGGGGGCCCGCACAAGCGGUGGAGCAUGUGGUUUAAUUCGAAGCAACGCGAAGAACCUUACCAGGUCUUGACAUCCUCUGACAAUCCUAGAGAUAGGACGUCCCCUUCGGGGGCAGAGUGACAGGUGGUGCAUGGUUGUCGUCAGCUCGUGUCGUGAGAUGUUGGGUUAAGUCCCGCAACGAGCGCAACCCUUGAUCUUAGUUGCCAGCAUUCAGUUGGGCACUCUAAGGUGACUGCCGGUGACAAACCGGAGGAAGGUGGGGAUGACGUCAAAUCAUCAUGCCCCUUAUGACCUGGGCUACACACGUGCUACAAUGGACAGAACAAAGGGCAGCGAAACCGCGAGGUUAAGCCAAUCCCACAAAUCUGUUCUCAGUUCGGAUC
Molecule: ribosomal RNA, 737 nt
Filed under: Bacillus subtilis
Lineage: Bacteria; Bacillati; Bacillota; Bacilli; Caryophanales; Bacillaceae
Description: bacterial SSU rRNA
Rfam family: Bacterial small subunit ribosomal RNA
Source: RNAcentral